AGCAUUUUACAGUUGUUAUCACUCUGGUGCAAUGACAUCCUUGCCCACCUAAGCUGCUGAGCUGAAGAGGCCAGGCUGAUGGAAACACAGCGUCUCAGAUGGGCAGGCAGGAAUGGCAUGACCCUGGGGUACUGUACUUGGCUUUUCCUAUCACCCCAACACCCCAAGGUUCAUGCAUCAAGAGGUUAGAGAGAAGCAGCAUACGCCAGCUUGUCAGGACACAGCUCACCUGAAGUGCCUUCCGCACUCCCCUGGGGGUGCAGCAGGCUCACUGAAUCUGGAAUCCUACUGCACUUCAACGUUAGUUGUGCUGCGUGGGGUAAACAAAUCAUAGAGCAGCAAGAAGGCUCAGCUGACAAAGGGUAUUUUAUCACAGCAAUUCGAAUGGAACUAGAACAGGCAACAUCUCUAGAGCAAUACCUCCUCGCCCAGAUCAAUAAGGACUUCUCCCAGAGUGCCUGGUACACAGCUCCAAAAGGGAAAGCGGCCCUGAUGAACUCCACCCCUGGCUUUGUACUAGCUCAUGCUAUCUGUUCCUUUUCCUGCCAGUAAUCUAGCCUUCCUAACAGCAGCUCUGGGUUAUUCUUUGGAGAACUACCUUCUCCAUUACUUUCCUAGAUCCCUGUUGUUUGGGUAGAAUUGACCAUACUACCUCCAGUUCAGAAGGCAGAUCAUAAGAUCAAAGCUUGACUUAAAAAUGCCUUUCAUUUUUUUCUGCCACCAGAGGUUUACGGAUGAACAUGUAGCCCAAACCAGACUUUGAAGAUUAGCCUUGGGAAUUACACUGCACUGACUGGAAAAAAAUAAAAAACCUUCUCUCGGCAGAUUUUUCUGGAAGGUUUCUCUUUUUCCUCUUUCUUUGAAAUAAAAUAUAUUUUUGAGGGCUGUAGAGAUGGCUCAGCUCUUCAGAGUAUUAGCUGCUCUUCCAGAGGCCUCUGCUUCCAGUCUCAGCUCCCUCACAGAAGCUCACAACUGCCCCUGGACCUGAUGCCCCCUUCUGGUUUCCACAGGCAUCAGGCACUCGAGUGGCUCACUGGCAUAUACGCAGGCCAAAUACUCAUAUGCAUAAUAAAAUUAAAUAGAUACACUUGCAA
Molecule: long non-coding RNA, 1094 nt
Organism: Mus musculus (house mouse)
Lineage: Eukaryota; Metazoa; Chordata; Mammalia; Rodentia; Muridae
Product: RIKEN cDNA 4930403D09 gene
Exons: 3
Source: RefSeq, marked validated